This is a long non-coding RNA of Vidua chalybeata, 224 nucleotides long. RefSeq lists it as uncharacterized. NCBI's taxonomy places the organism in Eukaryota, Metazoa, Chordata, Aves, Passeriformes, Viduidae. The transcript has 3 exons. The record is from RefSeq and is a predicted model, not a curated record.
UGGAAGACUGAAUUUAAUUCUUUCUACUAUACAGACUGCAACUGGGCACUUCUUCAAAUUACAAGACACAAAAAUGUAUUAGGUGCAAUUUGCCAGGCCUCAGAUCUUCAAGGAACUCCCCUGGUACUUGUUGACAGUCCUCAGGAAAAAUUGAAUUGUAUUAUAUUCCUUCAGAAACAUGGCAUUUUACUGAAGAGCCUGACUAAAUAAAAGGGAAACAAAGA